Toxotes jaculatrix (banded archerfish) is the source of this 896-nucleotide long non-coding RNA. RefSeq lists it as uncharacterized. Lineage: Eukaryota; Metazoa; Chordata; Actinopteri; Toxotidae. The record is from RefSeq and is a predicted model, not a curated record. The transcript is spliced from 3 exons.
CAAACUUUGUGGCGCAGAUGAUUUUCUCCAUCUGAAGUAAAAGUGCACCAAGAACUUAGAGUCUUUCCUACACUGACAGGAGAGAGCUGCAGAUGGAUGAAGUUCAUGGAAAAACUGAAAACUGUGAAAAGUCCUGAUGAACUUUACAGACGAUAUUGAACCAUGGUGAAAUUACAGGAUAUGGUCUGUAACAGACAUGGACUCAUGGGCCUCCUUCUCAGAGCAGGAGGAGCAGAUGAUACUUCUACAGAAGAAAUGAUGGAGAUGAUGAUUCAUGUAAAAUAUUUGAAGUUAAGGUUUUAGUCUCUUGGAGAUACAGAAUGUUCACUGAAUAAAAGCUUUGUUACACUUUUGGAUCCAAGCAGAUAAAAACAUUUUUCAAGUUGACCAACUAAAUCACCACAGUAACUGCAACUGUAACUACAUUUUCUCUGUCUGAAGGUAAAUGUCAGCAGUUUUAAUGUUUUAUACGUCAGCACUACCUGUCGUUACCUGUUGUUACCUGAGUUUUCUGAUGUUUGUGUUUUUGUGAGGUUGUCGUGGAAUCGUUGUUAAACCCGAAGUUACCGUGCCAAACCCAAAUCCUGCUUCAUAGUACAGGCCUCAGGCCUCUGGUCCUCCUCCAACAGGAACCAGGUUCUUUAUGUAAAAUUGUAUUUAAACGUGAUCAAUAAUUAAAUGAAAGAGAUUUCAUUAAAAAAAAAAAAAAGCUUUAAUAUUAUUGUAAAAGCUUUAUAGAAAUUGUCAGUCUUUUAUUUUGAAAAGCACGUACAAGUUGUUUGGAAUCUAAUACUUUUGUAGUAAAAGUAACCCAGUGUUUCCAUUUUCUGCUUCUUUAUACAUUUACUUCACAACUUUUCAGAGGGAAAUAUUUCACUGUUUUACUGCAUUUAUUU